AGGAUUUGUCUUAUUGCGUUGCUGCCGAAGUAGCUCUGCUCGAUUGCCUGGGCGCUUUCCGACGUGAAAAACGGAUCCAUCGAAUCUCCACCGGGGACAAAAACAACAUUGCAAUCACGGAACCAUAAAGCCACUCCUCACCUUCCCCAAGCCGCGCCUGGUUCAGCAGUCGCAGUCAAAACGCGAUGGCCAAAGCUGACUCAAUCCAGAAUGGAAUCAAAACAGACACAACAGACGAUGUUGAAAAAUCACUGGAACUCCUGGACAAAGUGCUGUCCGAGUUUGAAGAAGAGCAGGAGGUAAUACACGCCCCCGUGGAGCCGGAUAGUCCCUCCCAGGGCCACCAAUCCGAGGACGAUGGUUACAUGAGCAUGAAUGGCCGGAGGGCAAAAUUCGUACCUGAUUUUCAACCGACUGACGAGGCAAAUGCACCCUCACUUCCACAUCCGGUUCCUCCGGACGGCAAGUACUCACCCCCAUCACCCGAGGAAGCAGAACGAAUUAUUUCCAAUUUGCUACCAAGGAUAUCCCCGAACACGUCACCCAGCCGAAGGACCAACAGCACCACAAGUAGCAGUAGCACCAAUCGCAGCCCAGUUCAUCACAGCAGCAACAUAAGCCACAGUCAAAGUCACAGCGAGUGGCGAACGAGAAAUCUGGUGAGAAACUCCGACUCAAUUAGCAGUUCGACGACGAGCGACAAACCCUCCUCCAAUGACAAUACGGUCAUUGCCAAGAGUCCUACCCAGACGACACUGCCAAAAACUCGUCCCUCCAAUGUUUUACCCACACGAUACGCAAGUCUUCCAUGCUCCAGCCCGCCCAAGCAAACCGGCCCAAGUGAACCGAGUGGAGGCAGUUUGGACGACGGUCGGAACAAACUCGGCGGAAUAGGAAUCAGCGCGGUGCACGAUGCCGUCCUAAGGGGGAUGACGCGGCUGCCAGAACCAAUAGUCAACGAGCAUCCCGUCACCAUUUACCCCGGUAGAGCGUCUCCACCUCGGCGGGCGUCCCGAAAUUUACAGAGCUCCAUCGAACGGCACAGGGACCUCUAUCGGAAAGGUGCCUACAACUCGGACAACUCGUCAUCACAGGAAAAUUCGUCACCGGAAAAUAACGAAUUCGAAAACAACUCGUCCCUGUCCCCCUCCCACGGCGUCCAACUGAACAUCAACUACAACAAUAAUCUAAUCAGCAAUCGGAUAUUUGCUGCCAGUGCAGAAUACACGCGACAGAGGACGGCACACGACGAUAGCGACGAGGAGCGGUUCUCCGAUGAUUCGCUAGAGGAAUCUUCGCUGCCACCGCCUCCCGGACCACCAACGGUUCCUCCUCCUCCGUCGUUAUCAGCCCCGGUGACUCCCAGCAAACGGCACAGCAUUGCGUGGGAAGUCAACCUGGACGAUCCGGCUAGUUUCGAAGAUCCUCUGGCGAUACCCAAGGGCAACAGUUCGGCGUGCAGUAAGGUUAUUGGCAGGCGAAAAGGCACUAAGAACGUCAACGAUUCACAGUCAAGUUUGGAGUCCACACCCAGCAAUAGGAAAAGUGAAUCCAAUAAUGAAUGGCCCGAUCCGCCCGAUAUUCCCAUAUGCAGCACCGAGGACGAAGCCGCUUCCCUGUACUCCGAUUCCGACGAUGUCAUACCACAAGUACCGGACAUUUCCGGCCGCGGCACGUACGUCAUACGGAAGGGUCGGCGGAGACAGCGAUUGGAAAGUUUGGACUCGAACGCCAGCAACAACCUUCCGAUUCCGGGCAGCAGCGAUCUUCCGCCACCGGCCUUACCGAGUCCCAUCUUCCCCGCGUCCAUGAUGAUGCCCAAGUCGCGGCACAGCAUUGAUUUGGGUCUCACGUCCUCAGGCUGCAGUGCCGUACUCAAAACCUCACACUCCGCCCCUCAGAAACUACCCAACUCAGUUCUCUCGCCCAGGUCACGACUAUCAUUAGAUUUAAGUUCACCUACCUCAGAGCUUUCGACAAACGUAAAGAAAAUCACAACCCCAACCGGAAGCUUCCCGGCGCACCUCCAGCAGCAGCAACAAUCCUCACAAUUCCACAACGGCAGCAACAAUAAUAACAAUAAUAGCCUGAGCAAAUCGAAAUCCAACAGCAACAAUAAUCUCAGCACGGCCUGUGUUAACAACAAUAACAGCAUUACCGUUCUUGGAAACUCCGCUGGUCCCGUCCUGAUCGGAAAUGGCGCCCAACAGCCGAUAGUUUCCUCGCGCUACACCGAGUUCAAAACGUACAGCUCGACCUUCGAUGCCCUGCAGGCGCUGGAAAGUGCCAACAACAAUAGCAUGACACGCGGAGGCGCCACCGGAAAUGGCACGGCCACCGUUGUGCCCGUUGUCCCCGAUAACGACAGUUCGCUAAUACGGGUUUCCGCGCUACCGGCUGUCACACCACCUCAACACCCCGGCCAGGCAACAGCCGAAGGCCUUUCCACGCCGCGCCGUGAACUCGCACCUCCGAUCGAAGAGGACGAGGAAGUGGACAGUGACACUCAGCGGGGUGCCCCGCUACGCAAAAUAGAGGAUAAUAUUAGUGCUUUAUUACGUGGUGAUAUAUCUGUUGCUAGAGUAGCCGACAUACCUCCCGCGAGACGUCCAUUAGGUUUUCGUCUAGGUGUUCAUAAAUCAGAAAGUGCCAAAGAAAUGCUUUUAUCGCAAGCUGGAUUGGGGCCUUUGCCACCGUCACCGCCGUCAUCUAGUCCUGAACCGGACAGUGACGAAUUUCCUCCGCUGCCUCCCUCGCCUACCGAGGAACCUGAAGUUGUCCACCAGCUGCACGGCAUACGCAUCAGCUCACGCAAUCGGUCCAACAGUACCAAACACGAAGGUCACUUCCGGGACGAGCAACCACCGGCCGUCCCGCCUCACCGUGGCCCAUCGAUCAAUACGCUUAAAACAAGAUCAAUGGAUGCCGGCUUUAGUAAAUCAUACCGAAACGGUUCGCAUGCUUCCACAUCACCUCACGCCCCCGGAACGCUUCCUCCCGAUUUGCCCGGCUGCAACUCCCGACGAAGGGUCAUCACCGGCGGCUACCAGAAGCGAACCGCUCAAAGUCCACGCGAGGAGAGAUCCCUGCAGACGUCAUGCAGUUUGCCGGAAACGCCCAUCUUUGCACGAGGCAGCUGUGAUAUUCCACGAACGCCUCACCGACGUGCACCGGAAAUACCGCCUCAUGGCAGUGGAAGCCGAACAGCGCCCCGCACCAACACCAACACGACCAGCAGCCUUGGCUCGUCGGUGGUUGGCAUCGGUACCUCAACCAUCGGUGGCCGUCAGCGGAGCAUCAGCCAAGCUUUCGCCAACGGUGAAAUGCUACGCUUAGCGGGUGGUCCAGCCCGUGGCUGGUAUCCGAAGCAGCGGCAACCUCGGCCGGCGUCGACCGAGCAUCUGGACCGGCUGCAUCCGCAGGGAUCCCUGCGCGCCUGGGAAGCGGGUACGGGUAGCAGAAAACCGCUUACCCUACCACCUAAUCUCACACCUAAAUUUUUCAACAAGUCACCGCGAGAGGCGUUACGUCGUGUUACUAGUUUGUUAAUUCGAAAAGGAAAUUCCGGCACCAAGGAUAAGGAAUCGCGCAAGGACAAAGACCGAGGCGAUAAAGAGGCGUACUCUUCGUCGUCCAAUUUUUUGCAGCGUUCGCCCGGAUCCGAUGUAACCGACUCUCGAGGCUAUCACCACCCCCUUCAUUACCAACAGCAGCAGCAGCAACAACAGCACCAUCAUCAGCCCCAGCAUCACCAGUCUUCAUCAUCGCAGCACACCACGCCUACUACACAGAAAAAGAAGGGUUUCUUCAAAAGUUUUUGGAAAAAGUCACGUCACUAUUCGCUAGAAAAGCAGUAAGCCAUGCCCCAGGUCAGGUCAGGUCUCGCACACCCAGUUGGAAACUUUUGCUAGGCUAGUUGUAGAACGACACAGAUAUUUAUACACAAUUUUAUUUGCGGGUGGAAGUACUUUAACCACAAGAUAACUCUAACAAACAGCAAUCUCUUAUCUAUAUUGGCCUAACCGAAAACAGAAGUAAAAUAUACAGUCAGUGGGAGGAGAAAACGAAAAACCGAAACGAGUAACAUAGUGAACUGUAAGAAAAACAGUGCGUAACAUUUUAACGGAUGCAACACAUCAAGAUUAUUAUCACUAAUCAUAUUACACGAGAGCAGCGCGCGAGAAUAGCAACCAAAGAUUCAACACAUUUUGUCACUUUCGCGUCCUCUGAGGGUAUACGCAGAUAGAGGCGCACGCACGAUGUUGAUCACACAAAUAAUAAUUCAGAGAGAGCAAAGGGCACAAUGUCAGUCGAUUAUAAGUUUUGCGUUCGAUUCGUGUGAAGUAAAAAUUCAACCUCUCCCUUAAAUUGAACCUCCUCGCCUGCUGUGAGUAGCAUUCCGAUACACCUUAAUAUCAUAGCAACCAGCCUAUUAAAUAACGAUAUUUGAGGACGAAUUAAAAAAAACAAAGGAAACCAUGAAAAUGUUAACAGAAUCACUUAUACAAACAUACAAACAAACAACACAUUUGCAGAAACGUUACUGAUUUAAGUCGAAAGCGUUGAAUUUAAUUAUGGUACCAUUUAUUAAUCGAUUUUAGGAAUGUAAGCAAAGUCAAGAGUUGUAGAGAGCAGGUCGUAACCACCCAGGAGUAGAGUAGAAGAAAUUUGCUUAAAGUAUGUAACAGAACCACAGCAAAAAAAAACAGUAAAAAGUAAUUGGCUUGCUGAAAAGCAAAACUGUUGUUAGAACGAGAGUGACGUUGUCUUUGUAGAUUGAGUCAUUGUGUAUAGAAGUGAUUUGUGUACAGAUGUUGGUUAUCUUAGUUUGUGUUUCCUGUAAUCGACUAUAGAUUAUAUACAUAUAUGAGCAGAUAUUAUUAUCAUUUUUUUUGUACAUUUUUUAUUUAUAGUGCACUAGGUAACCUGUUAAGUUUGAUUAUUUUUUAUUUACGGUGUAUUUCUUUUUCUUGUGAAAUAACUUAUACUUUCUUGUGCCUGUGGGAGUGGCGCCCAGGCCCCAAUUUUAACAGCUACUGGAACUAAUCUCAGUUUAACCAAAUGCAAAAACAAGCAACACACAAAAUGUAUCUCCAAGUUUUCCUAUAUUUACGGAACGCAUUAGCCCGAAUAAACUCAUUUUAAUCAACUUUAA
RNA transcript from Aedes aegypti (yellow fever mosquito), 5155 nucleotides. It is a transcript of the gene named rho GTPase-activating protein gacF, with no coding region annotated. The transcript is spliced from 18 exons. Lineage: Eukaryota; Metazoa; Arthropoda; Insecta; Diptera; Culicidae. The record is from RefSeq and is a predicted model, not a curated record.